GACGAACGCUGGCGGCGUGCUUAACACAUGCAAGUCGAACGGACAGGCGCUGCGUUUGUUGCUUGCUCGUUUGGCGAACGCGUGAGUAACACGUGAGUAACCUGUCCUUGUCUUUCGGAGAACUUCAGGAGACUGGGGCUAAUACCGCGUAUGAUCUCCUGCUGCAUGUUGGUGGUUGGAGAGUUUCGGCGGUUUGGUAUCGUCUCGCUGCUUAUCAGCUUGUUGGUGUGGUAGUCGCUUACCAAGGGUGUGACGGGUAGGCGGCCUGAGAGGGUGACCAGGGACAAUGGGACUGAGAGACGGAGCAGACUCCUACGUGAGGCAGUAGUGGGGAAUAUUGCAGAAUGGGGGGAAGCGUGAUGCAGCAAUGCCGCGUGCGGGAUGACGGCCUUUGGGUUGUGAACAGAUUUGGCAGGUGACGAAGCGUGAGUGACGGUAAUGGGUAAAGAAGCAACGGCUAACUACGUG
RNAcentral lists this ribosomal RNA (468 nucleotides) under uncultured bacterium. Its description in RNAcentral is "partial 16S ribosomal RNA". It matches the Rfam family "Bacterial small subunit ribosomal RNA", at positions 28 to 507 of the family's 1533-position model. The record is from RNAcentral.